GAUGAAGAACGUAGCGAACUGCGAUAAGUAAUGCGAAUUGCAGAAUUCAGUGAGUCAUCGAAUCUUUGAACGCACAUUGCGCCCUGUGGUAUUCCGCAGGGCAUGCCUGUUCGAGCGUCAUUUCAACCCUCAAGCUCUGCUUGGUGUUGGGCCCUGCCCGCUGCGGCCGGCCCUAAAGACAGUGGCGGUGCCGCCUGGCCCUGAGCGUAGUACAUCUCUCGCUCCAGUGCCCGGUGGUAGCCUGCCAGAACCCCAACUCUCGUGGUUGACCUCGGAUCAGGUAGGGAUACCCGCUGAACUUGAGCAUAUCAAUAAGCGGAGGA
RNAcentral lists this unclassified non-coding RNA (323 nucleotides) under soil metagenome. RNAcentral describes it as "partial contains 5.8S ribosomal RNA, internal transcribed spacer 2, and large subunit ribosomal RNA". The stretch from base 1 to 120 matches the Rfam family "5.8S ribosomal RNA", at positions 35 to 154 of the family's 154-position model. The record is from RNAcentral.